GAUGAACGCUAGCUACAGGCUUAACACAUGCAAGUCGAGGGGAAACGACAGUAAAGCUUGCCUUAUUGGGCGUCGACCGGCGCACGGGUGCGUAACGCGUAUCCAACCUGCCCCCAACUCCGGAAUAGUCCCCCGAAAGGGGGGUUAACGCCGGAUGCUGCAAUUUUUCCGCAUGGUGAAAUUGCGAAAUGAAAAAGGUUGGGGCUGGGGAUGCGUCCCAUUAGGUAGUAGGCGGGGUAACGGCCCACCUAGCCGACGAUGGGUAGGGGUUCUGAGAGGAAGGUCCCCCCACAUUGGAACUGAGACACGGUCCAAACUCCUACGGGAGGCGGCAGUGAGGAAUAUUGGUCAAUGGGCGAGAGCCUGAACCAGCCAAGUAGCGUGUGGGAAGAAUGCCCUAUGGGUUGUAAACCACUUUUGCAGGAGGGUAAAAUGCUUCACGUGUGGAGUAUUGCAAGUAUCCUGCGAAUAAGGACCGGCUAAUUCCGUG
This 490-nucleotide ribosomal RNA is filed under the name uncultured bacterium. Its description in RNAcentral is "bacterial SSU rRNA". It matches the Rfam family "Bacterial small subunit ribosomal RNA", at positions 28 to 507 of the family's 1533-position model. The record is from RNAcentral.